RNAcentral lists this ribosomal RNA (655 nucleotides) under Bacillus proteolyticus. RNAcentral's name for it is "bacterial SSU rRNA". It matches the Rfam family "Bacterial small subunit ribosomal RNA", at positions 57 to 691 of the family's 1533-position model. Lineage: Bacteria; Bacillati; Bacillota; Bacilli; Caryophanales; Bacillaceae. The record is from RNAcentral.
GGCAGUCGAGCGAUGAAUUAAGAGCUUGCUCUUAUGAAGUUAGCGGCGGACGGGUGAGUAACACGUGGGUAACCUGCCCAUAAGACUGGGAUAACUCCGGGAAACCGGGGCUAAUACCGGAUAACAUUUUGAACUGCAUGGUUCGAAAUUGAAAGGCGGCUUCGGCUGUCACUUAUGGAUGGACCCGCGUCGCAUUAGCUAGUUGGUGAGGUAACGGCUCACCAAGGCAACGAUGCGUAGCCGACCUGAGAGGGUGAUCGGCCACACUGGGACUGAGACACGGCCCAGACUCCUACGGGAGGCAGCAGUAGGGAAUCUUCCGCAAUGGACGAAAGUCUGACGGAGCAACGCCGCGUGAGUGAUGAAGGCUUUCGGGUCGUAAAACUCUGUUGUUAGGGAAGAAACAAGUGCUAGUUGAAUAAGCUGGCACCUUGACGGUACCUAACCAGAAAGCCACGGCUAACUACGUGCCAGCAGCCGCGGUAAUACGUAGGUGGCAAGCGUUAUCCGGAAUUAUUGGCGUAAAGCGCGCGCAGGUGGUUUCUUAAUCUGAUGGUGAAAGCCCCGGGCUCAACCGUGGAGGGGCAUUGGAAACUGGGGAUACUUGACUGCAGAAGAGGAAAGUAGAAUUCCAUGUGGUAGCGGUUAAAUGGCU